Molecule: ribosomal RNA, 439 nt
Filed under: uncultured Paracoccaceae bacterium
Lineage: Bacteria; Pseudomonadati; Pseudomonadota; Alphaproteobacteria; Rhodobacterales; Paracoccaceae
Description: bacterial SSU rRNA
Rfam family: Bacterial small subunit ribosomal RNA
Source: RNAcentral
GGCGGACGGGUGAGUAACGCGUUGGGAAUGUGCCCUUCUCUACGGAAUAGCCACUGGAAACGGUGAGUAAUACCGUAUACGCCCUCAGGGGGAAAGAUUUAUCGGAGAAGGAUCAGCCCGCGUUAGAUUAGGUAGUUGGUGGGGUAACGGCCUACCAAGCCUACGAUCUAUAGCUGGUUUUAGAGGAUGAUCAGCCACACUGGGACCGAGACACGGCCCAGACUCCUACGGGAGGCAGCAGUAGGGAAUCUUGGACAAUGGGGGCAACCCUGAUCCAGCCAUGCCGCGUGAGUGAAGAAGGCCCUAGGGUCGUAAAGCUCUUUCGCCUGUGAUGAUAAUGACAGUAGCAGGUAAAGAAACCCCGGCUAACUCCGUGCCAGCAGCCGCGGUAAUACGGAGGGGGUUAGCAUUGUUCGGAAUUACUGGGCGUAAAGCGCGC